This is a long non-coding RNA of Myotis brandtii (Brandt's bat), 134 nucleotides long. RefSeq lists it as uncharacterized. The record is from RefSeq and is a predicted model, not a curated record. Lineage: Eukaryota; Metazoa; Chordata; Mammalia; Chiroptera; Vespertilionidae. The transcript has 3 exons.
ACUUCAGCAUGACAAAAAGAAUCUCUCAGGCCACAAAGAAGAGAACGCCCCAGUAUGAGUCAGUGUACAGUGACACUUUGCCUGGUUAACAUCUCAGGAAAUUGUGCUGUGGAUAUUUUUGCAUGUUUGUGUGU